ACAGUAUUGGAUAAACCUUCUCUUUUCCUUUUAUCUCUCUCUCUCUCUCUCUCUCUCUCUCUGAGCUGUAUAAUAUUAGACGAACUCUGCUUUGAUCAGAGAAGACUCUGUUGCUGUUGUUUUCAUCAGAAUCAGGAUUCUAUUCCAAGAUGAUGGAGUUGUUCUUACUCGGUUGCACCGGAGUUGUGGUGUUUCUUCACGGCGCCAAUUUCUUCUUCCACGUUCUCUCGCAGCAUCUUGUUGUUCGUUCCCUCAGUUUCUUGGGAUUUGUUGGGUGGUAGAGAUGAGAUGAAGAAGACAAUAUACUUGUUGGCAGAUUCAUGGAGGUAUAUAGAGACUAUAUAUAACUUAGUUCUUUUUUUUAUGUUACCCAGAAUGGGAAAUAAGUUGUAAGUAAGGCUUUGUUGAACAUCAUAACUUAUAAUUAUUAUUUUUUAGAUUUGUUCUGUGAUCUCAGUUUUUGUUUGUAAAGUUUCCAUAUCAUUCUGUGCUGAUGAGUGUUGAGAUAGGUUCUUUAAUGGUGCCAUUGGAUGAAAAUAAUGAAAUCCUGAUCUCACUGAUUAUCAGUCUUAAACUAAACCCUUCUGUUUGAGGGGAGGAUUUUGGAUCCAAUUCAUGGAAAACACAAUCUCAUACCCAAUAAGAGAUAACUAAAUCUUACAA
Carica papaya (papaya) is the source of this 663-nucleotide long non-coding RNA. RefSeq lists it as uncharacterized. Lineage: Eukaryota; Viridiplantae; Streptophyta; Magnoliopsida; Brassicales; Caricaceae. The record is from RefSeq and is a predicted model, not a curated record.